Molecule: non-coding RNA, 213 nt
Organism: Salvelinus sp. IW2-2015
Lineage: Eukaryota; Metazoa; Chordata; Actinopteri; Salmoniformes; Salmonidae
Source: RefSeq, a predicted model, not a curated record
CCUACAAUGCAUGACAACGAUGGGACCAACUCAAAGCCUCCAAGCCAUGGGCCUGGACUGCUUCCUAGACAGCUCUCUGGCUUGCUCCCUCCUUCACACUUUGACCUCAUGGCACCAAUGGUUGUGCCACCUGACACUCUACCCUACUGAGGCCAUUUGCCCAGAGUGGAUUUGCCAUACAUAGAUUUUUUCAGCAUUAAAAAACCUCAGCAU